This 3577-nucleotide long non-coding RNA is filed under the name Podarcis lilfordi (Lilford's wall lizard). The record is from RNAcentral. Lineage: Eukaryota; Metazoa; Chordata; Lepidosauria; Squamata; Lacertidae.
GGAGGGGAGGACCAUAACCACUGGAUCCAAAUGACAAGCAAGGAGAGUCUGACUCAACAUUAGGAAGAACUUUCUGACUGAGCUGUUUGACAGUGGAACAGACUCCUGCAGAAGGCAGUGAGCUCUCUUUCAUUGGAGGUUUUUAAGCAGAGGUUGAAUGGCCAUUUGUCAGGGAUUCCUGAGCUGUGGUUCCUGCAUUGCAGAGGGUUGGACUAGAUCAGGCAUCCCCAACCUGCGGCCCUCCAGAUGUUUUGGCCUACAACUCCCAUGAUCCCUAGCUAACAGGACCAGUGGUCAGGGAUGAUGGGAACUGUAGUCCAAAACAUCUGUAGGGCUGAAGGUUGGGGAUGCCAGGACUAGAUUGUGUUUGGGGACACCUUCCAACUCUACGGUUCGUAAACUUCAUGAUCCCACGUCCACCCAGCUCACUGCCUGACACGAUCUUUGCUUGGGUGGGUUGAUUUCAGAAUAGUGGAAGUGACCUGGAUAAGCAUAUACUCAGGGUGGGAAGUGGGUAGGUGAAUUCUCUAGUGGUGCAGAAAGGUGUUGGGUAGCUUUUUCAGAUAGGAUUGGACAAAUUCAUGGAGGAGGAGAGGGCUGUUAAUGACUGUUGAUGUUUAGUCGUUUAGUCGUGUCUGACUCUUUGUGACCCCAUGGACCAGAGCACGCCAGGCACUCCUGUCUUCCACUGCCUCCUGCAGUUUGGUCCAUAGCUGUCAACUUUUCCCUUUUCUUGCAAGGAAUCCUAUUCGGAAUAAGGGAAUUUCCCUUAAAAAAGGGGAAACGUUGACAGCUAUGGUUUGGUCAAUCUCAUGCUGGUAGCUUCGAGAACACUGUCCAACCAUCUUGUCCUCUGUCGUCCCCUUCUCCUUGUGCCCUCCAUCUUUCCCAGCAUCAGGGUCUUUCCCAGGGAGUCUUCUCUUCUCAUGAGGUGGCCAAAGUAUUGGUGCCUCAGCUUCAGGAUCUGUCCUUCCAAUGAGUGCUCAGGGUUGAUUUCCUUCAGAAUGGACAGGUUUGAUCUUCUUGCAGUCCGUGGGACUCUCAAGAGUCUCCUCCAGCACCAGAAUUCAAAACUGUUGAUUACUACUAGCCGCAAUUGGCUAUGCUCUCAGUACCAAGGCUUCUCAAUACCAGUUUCUGGAAAUUGCAGGAGGAGAGAGGGCUCUUAUGCUCAAAUCCUGCUUGUGGGUUUCCCAACUGGUUGGCCACUGUGAGAAGGGGAUGCUGGGCUGGAUGGGCCAUUGGCCUGAUCCAGCAGGCUCUUCUCACCUUCUUCUGCUAGGAACCAACCUUGCACCAGACCAGGUGGCCGUCCUCCUCAAUGAUGCCAGAGAACUGAGCCUGGGAAACUGACACCAGCCACAGACCCUUAUCUCACGUGUCCUCAUCUUGCUCUUGGUAACCAGACCAGCUCAGCUUUCUCUGCUUUGCGUAAUUAGAUAAGAGGAGGCUUUAUUACUCUCCCAGCAACGCUGUCCCUUCAGACUUGUGGGGUGGAAUCCCCACAUGGCCAAGCAGUGGAAACUGCUCCAUCAGGGCACACAGGACACUGCUUUGCUGAUGUCCUGGUCUGUCUUCAACCAGCAUCCACCAGCUGGCCUUCCUCCUUAUGUGCAGUCCUGGGUGUGUCGAUCCUGGCCGUCUAAGGUUGUGUAUGCAUUAAUCAUAGAAUUGGUGAGUUGGAAGGGACCCGGAGGGUCAUCUAGUCCAACCCCUUGCUACAACGCAGGAAUCACAGUUCAAUAAUCCCUGACAUGGAUCCAACCUCUGCUUAAAAACCACCACAGCCUUCCAAGGGGAUUCCACUGCUGAACAGCUCUUUCCUUCAGAAACUUAUUCAAUUUAUUUUUUACUUGAGAAAGUUUGUUUAGGAAAUAUUAGGGAGAACUAAUUUGGUCAGAAUCUCCUUUCUUGUAACUUGAAUCCAUUGGUUCAAGUCCUACCCUCCAGAGCAGGAACAAACAAGCUUGCUCCAUCUUCCAUGUGUCAGCCCUUGAAACAUUUGAAGGUAUCAACAUAUCUCCCCCCAGUCUCCUCUUUUCUAAGCUAAACCUACCCAGCUCCUUCAACCGUUCCUGAUAAGGCUUGGUUUCCAGACCCUUGAUCAUCUUGGUCACCUCUGCAUAUGUCCCAGCUUGUCAAUAUUCUUCUUAAACUGUGGCACCCAGAACUGGACACAGUAUUCCAGGUGUGGCCUGACCAAGGCAGAAUCUAGUGGUACUAUUACUUCCUCUGAUCUGGACGCUACAUUUCUGUUGAUGCAGCCUAGAAUAGCAUCAGCUUUCUUUGCUUCUGCAAAGAAAUGGGCCCAAGUUACUGUAGCCAUGUGCAUUAAUUUCAGUGGGUCUGUUGAAUAAAGUCUUAAGGUACUGCUGAUCUCCUCAGCUCCCCUUGUGAGCACUGUGACUGUCAUACUGAAUCAAAGUGGGUGCAAAAAAAUGCAAAACACCUCUCUUAUCUUUUUUGACCAGCAAAUUCUGGUUGGACGUGUUAGCGGAUUUACGACCGAAUGCUUGGAGUGGAGCCAGUGGGCUGUCCAGAUUUGUCCUCAGAAGCAGGAUAGCCGAUCUACCGAAAGCAUCCCAGGCUGAUGCUUGCCCAAUCAUCUUUGAAAAGCCGCCAAAUAAAGAGAUUCCGCCACAUCCUUCGCAUCGGCCUUCAUUCCUGAGCAUUAAGUUCUUAAGCUUCUUGUCAUUUAAACACAAUUGCUUUUUGGGGUGGAUGGGUGGGAGGGAGGAAAACCUGAUUCUCAGAAUCCAGGAUGAGCAAUCUUCCUUUCUUUCGUCCUUUUUAAAUAUUUGAAAACAGCCAGCGUGGUCUUCGCUGUCAUCUCCUUCUGCAUAGCAGGGGGUUGGUCUAGAUGGCCCUCUGGAUCCCUUCCAUCUUCUCAGCACAUGUGACAUCCAGACAUUCCUCAGGAGAUUUCAGCCUUCUGGAGCAUUGAUCAUCUCUUGAUGGCUUCCCCCUCAAUCCUUUCCAUUGUGUUGAUGGUGGGUCUUGCAGCUCAGUGGCAAAGCAUCUGGUUUUCAUGGAUAAAGUCUUGUGUUCAAAUCCUGCUAGCAUCUCCUGCUAGGGCUGGGAAAGGGCUCCAUGCCCCAAAUCCUGGAUUGCUGCUGACAUUCAAUGCAGAUAAUAAUGUGCCAGACAGACCAAGGGCCUGACUCUCUGUAUAUGAAGCAGCUUCCUAUUUUCCCGUGUCAAUCAUUGUUCAGAGCCAUGAGGACUAGAAACUUGCUUUAUUUUUAGGGGAAGGGCCGCAGCUGAGUGGCAGAACACACACUUUGUGUGGCAUCUCCAGGCAGGGCUGGGAAUAUGCCCUGCCCUGCAACUCUGGAGAGCUGCUGCCAGUCAGUGCAGACAGUACUGGUACAGAUUGGCCCCCAUGGCUUAGCAGCUCCCUAAAUUCCUUAGCCUGUUUUAUUGGCGUGGGCAUCAGGCAAUGAAUGCAAUACUCUCUUAGCAGCGGCUGUGCAGAAUGACAGCUUCCACUUCUUCAGCUUUGAGACUGAGGUUGAAGUGAGCGCUGCUAGCUCACACCUCUGCCCCCAACCCCCUCCUGCAAUAUUGCAAAUUAUCC